Molecule: ribosomal RNA, 253 nt
Filed under: uncultured bacterium
Lineage: Bacteria
Description: partial 16S ribosomal RNA
Rfam family: Bacterial small subunit ribosomal RNA
Source: RNAcentral
UACGAAGGGGGCUAGCGUUGCUCGGAAUCACUGGGCGUAAAGGGUGCGUAGGCGGGUCUUUAAGUCAGGGGUGAAAUCCUGGAGCUCAACUCCAGAACUGCCUUUGAUACUGAGGAUCUUGAGUACGGGAGAGGUGGGUGGAACUGCGAGUGUAGAGGUGAAAUUCGUAGAUAUUCGCAAGAACACCAGUGGCGAAGGCGGCUCACUGGCCCGUAACUGACGCUGAGGCACGAAAGCGUGGGGAGCAAACAGG